GACAAUUUGACUAAAUGUGUCCGUUUAAUUGAUGAUUUAAUUUAUGCAGUUAUUUACCCGCCUAAACGUUAACCCUAAAAAUGAAAAUUUUGACAAUGACACAUGGAAUAAGGUUUAACAAGACUGUCAAUUAAAAAGUAAUAAUGGGAAAAUCCAACCAAGGUUGCCUUUAUUUUGGGAAUACAAUUUAUUAUGUGUUGGUCCAUCAUUUUUGAUUAUCUGUUGAGGAAAAAAGGUAAGACUUUUUAAUAUUAUCAAAUAUCUUAGCCAUUGCAACAAUCUUUAUAAUCCGUUACACAAUUAAUCCAGUUCCCUGUACCUAAUCUGAAACUUGAAAAACCUUUUUGUAUUUUUUUCCGUUUAUAAAGACUUUCCUAAUCUUCAAAUUGGUAGAGGUGAAAAGAUUUCAAUUGUUUACCUGCAAGCUGUUUUACAUCUUCAACAUUGGGCGCUUUUAUCAUUUCAUUUCAAUAUUUACUCAUCUUCAAUUCCGUAUUUACACUACUGUUCAUUUACUGUUAUUGCUCUGGUUAGUUAAAGCUUGAUGACCUGUGAUACAAUUGCUACUUGAACGGACAUUUCCUAAUCAAGUUCAUUGCCAUUGAAAGACGAGUGAUCAGUGAAUCACCACGCAAUAUUCACCUCUUUGACUGAUUAAGUGUUUGAUUGAUUAACCAUUUUAGUUAUUUCAAUUCACUGAAAUUCCAUGUUGAUUCUUCCUUUAUCGGCUCUAAAAUCAAAGAGUUAAGUGGUUUGAAUUUCGCUCAACACAUUGUUCCCAUUGUAACCCAAAGAAAAGGUUGACUAUUUGCUUAGAUUUAUCAUAGCGUGGCGUGUAAAUGCGUAACCAAUGUGAUUGUCAGGCAGUCUUGAAGUAAAUUCAUUGAUAAUUAUGCAAAUGUUUGUAGGUUCAACUACUAGUAAAGGUGUUGAUUGUUAACCUUGAAUUAAUGUUGCUUCGGUAAAUGAGUCUUCAAAUAGCAUCCAAAACAAAAAUAAAACAACGAGAAUAAUUUUCUGUGUUCGUCUAUCUUAUCAAUCUUUUGUAACAUUGAAUACAUAAGACUACAUUCAAAAAUACUAAUUGCGAUACAAUGGAGUUAAUUUAGUAACAAUAAUAGCUGUUUAAUACCAAUAACUAAACCUUGAACACAAAUCUGAAUUGAGAUUAAAAAAGAUGAAAAACUCGUUUAGGUAAUAAUUGUUGUUUUACAAAUAAAGAAACAUAUUCGAUAUCUUA
This is a non-coding RNA of Tetranychus urticae (two-spotted spider mite), 1240 nucleotides long. NCBI's taxonomy places the organism in Eukaryota, Metazoa, Arthropoda, Arachnida, Trombidiformes, Tetranychidae. The record is from RefSeq and is a predicted model, not a curated record.